CUGCUGCCUUCCGUAGGAGUUUGGACCGUGUCUCAGUUCCAAUGUGGGGGACCUUCCUCUCAGAACCCCUACGCAUCGUCGCCACGGUGGGCCGUUACCCCGCCGUCUAGCUAAUGCGCCGCAUGCCCAUCCUCUUCCGAUGAAUCUUUCCUCGAUCUCGGAUGCCCGAAACCGAUAUACGCGGGAUUAGCCUCCCUUUCGGAAGGUUGUCCCCCUGAAGAGGGCAGGUUGCAUACGUGUUACUCACCCGUGCGCCGGUCGCCGG
Molecule: ribosomal RNA, 265 nt
Filed under: uncultured bacterium
Lineage: Bacteria
Description: partial 16S ribosomal RNA
Source: RNAcentral